UACGUAGGUGGCAAGCGUUAUCCGGAAUUAUUGGGCGUAAAGAGCGCGCAGGUGGUUGAUUAAGUCUGAUGUGAAAGCCCACGGCUUAACCGUGGAGGGUCAUUGGAAACUGGUCGACUUGAGUGCAGAAGAGGGAAGCGGAAUUCCAUGUGUAGCGGUGAAAUGCGUAGAGAUAUGGAGGAACACCAGUGGCGAAGGCGGCUUCCUGGUCUGUAACUGACACUGAGGCGCGAAAGCGUGGGGAGCAAACAGGAUUAGAUACCCCGGUA
RNAcentral lists this ribosomal RNA (269 nucleotides) under uncultured prokaryote. Its description in RNAcentral is "partial 16S ribosomal RNA". It matches the Rfam family "Bacterial small subunit ribosomal RNA", at positions 524 to 792 of the family's 1533-position model. The record is from RNAcentral.